UGGGGAAUAUUGGACAAUGGGCGAAAGCCUGAUCCAGCCAUGCCGCGUGUGUGAAGAAGGUCUUCGGAUUGUAAAGCACUUUAAGUUGGGAGGAAGGGCAGUAAGCGAAUACCUUGCUGUUUUGACGUUACCGACAGAAUAAGCACCGGCUAACUCUGUGCCAGCAGCCGCGGUAAUACAGAGGGUGCAAGCGUUAAUCGGAAUUACUGGGCGUAAAGCGCGCGUAGGUGGUUCGUUAAGUUGAAUGUGAAAGCCCCGGGCUCAACCUGGGAACUGCAACCAAAACUGGCGAGCGAGAGUAGGGCAGAGGGUGGUGGAAUAUCCUGUGUAGCGGUGAAAUGCGUAGAUAUAGGAAGGAACACCAGUGGCGAAGGCGACCACCUGGGCUCAUACUGACACUGAGGUGCGAAAGCGUGGGGAGCAAACAGG
RNAcentral lists this ribosomal RNA (429 nucleotides) under Pseudomonadota bacterium. Its description in RNAcentral is "Proteobacteria bacterium partial 16S ribosomal RNA". It matches the Rfam family "Bacterial small subunit ribosomal RNA", at positions 355 to 776 of the family's 1533-position model. The record is from RNAcentral. Lineage: Bacteria; Pseudomonadati; Pseudomonadota.